RNAcentral lists this ribosomal RNA (330 nucleotides) under uncultured bacterium. Its description in RNAcentral is "bacterial SSU rRNA". It matches the Rfam family "Bacterial small subunit ribosomal RNA", at positions 11 to 355 of the family's 1533-position model. The record is from RNAcentral.
GUUUGAUCCUGGCUCAGAACGAACGCUAUCGGUAUGCUUAACACAUGCAAGUCGGACGGACUAAUUAGGGCUUGCUCCAAUUAGUUAGUGGCAGACGGGUGAGUAACACGUGGGAAUCUGCCCAUCAGUACGGAAUAACUUUUAGAAAUAAAAGCUAAUACCGUAUAUUCUCUACAGAGGAAAGAUUUAUCGCUGAUGGAUGAGCCCGCGUCAGAUUAGGUAGUUGGUGAGGUAACGGCUCACCAAGCCGACGAUCUGUAGCUGGUCUGAGAGGAUGAUCAGCCACACUGGGACUGAGACACGGCCCAGACUCCUACGGGGGGCAGCAGA